GAUGAACGCUGGCGGCGUGCCUAAUACAUGCAAGUCGAGCGAACGGACGAGAAGCUUGCUUCUCUGAUGUUAGCUGCGGACGGGUGAGUAACACGUGGAUAACCUACCUAUAAGACUGGGAUAACUUCGGGAAACCGUAGCUAAUACCGGAUAAUAUUUUGAACCGCAUGGUUCAAAAGUGAAAGACGUUCUUGCUGUCACUUAUAGAUGGAUCCUCGCUGCAUUAGCUAGUUGGUAAGGUAACGGCUUACCAAGGCAACGAUGCAUAGCCGACCUGAGAGGGUGAUCGGCCACACGGGAACUGAGACACGGUCCAGACUCCUAAGGGAGGCAGCAGUAGGGAAUCUUACGCAAUGGGCGAAAGACUGACGGAGCAAAGCCGCGUGAGUGAUGAAGGUCUUCGGAUCGUAAAACUAUGUUAUUAGGGAAGAACAUAUGUGUAAGUAACUGUGCACAUCUUGACGGUACCUAAUCAGAAAGCCACGGCUAACUACGUG
Molecule: ribosomal RNA, 497 nt
Filed under: uncultured bacterium
Lineage: Bacteria
Description: partial 16S ribosomal RNA
Rfam family: Bacterial small subunit ribosomal RNA
Source: RNAcentral